This 391-nucleotide ribosomal RNA is filed under the name uncultured bacterium. Its description in RNAcentral is "bacterial SSU rRNA". It matches the Rfam family "Bacterial small subunit ribosomal RNA", at positions 28 to 410 of the family's 1533-position model. The record is from RNAcentral.
GAUGAACGCUAGCGAUAGGCCUAACACAUGCAAGUCGAGGGGCAUCACAUGAAGUAGCAAUACGGAUGGUGGCGACCGGCGCACGGGUGAGUAACACGUAUGCAACCUGCCUUCAACAAGGGGAUAACCCGUUGAAAGACGGACUAAUACCCUAUAACACAGGGGUCCCGCAUGGGGAUAUUUGUUAAAGGACAACCGGUUGAAGAUGGGCAUGCGUUCCAUUAGCUAGUUGGCGGGGUAAGGGCCCACCAAGGCAACGAUGGAUAGGGGAACUGAGAGGUUUAUCCCCCACACUGGUACUGAGACACGGACCAGACUCCUACGGGAGGCAGCAGUGAGGAAUAUUGGUCAAUGGACGCAAGUCUGAACCAGCCACGUCGCGUGAAGGAAG